Molecule: long non-coding RNA, 220 nt
Filed under: Elaeis guineensis (African oil palm)
Lineage: Eukaryota; Viridiplantae; Streptophyta; Magnoliopsida; Arecales; Arecaceae
Description: long non-coding RNA (EGUI_LNC002382)
Source: RNAcentral
GUUCCAGCCUGAAGAUUCUUUUGGUCCACAUGAUGCCCUUGAAAGAUUUACCCUGAUCAUGGAGGAGUUUGUUUGUCCUUAUUGUCAAAUGAUAACCUAGCAUCCACUACUUCUGAUCUUAGAUUAGGCAAUUAUAUUUAAUAAAAGUUUUCAGUUCUCAUUUUGUUAGAUUUAAGGAGAGGUUUGAUCCUUUUGUUGUCAGAUCAGUGAAUCAUAUGGG